UUUAGGCAAAUCCGUUUAGACAAUGCUAGGAUGUGAUGGGGAAGCCCUUCGGGGCGAAGUAGCUGAUUUCACACUGUCAAGAAAAGCUUCUAUCGAGUUUAAAGGCGCCCGUACCGUAAACCGACACAGGUGGGUGAGGAGAGUAUCCUAAGGCCAGCGAGAGAACUAUUGUUAAGGAACUCGGCAAAAUGACCCCGUAACUUAGGGAGAAGGGGUGCCUGUCUAUGACAGGCCGCAGAGAAUAGGCCCAAGCGACUGUUUACCAAAAACACAGGUUUCUGCUAAGUCGCAAGACGAUGUAUAGGAGCUCACGCCUGCCCGGUGCUGGAAGGUUAAGGGGAUCUGUUAGAGCAGUCGAAGCAGUGAACUUAAGCCCCAGUAAACGGCGGCCGUAACAAUAACGGUCCUAAGGUAGCGAAAUUCCUUGUCGGGUAAGUUCCGACCCGCACGAAAGGCGUAACGAUUUGGGCACUGUCUCAACAAUAGACUCGGUGAAAUUGUAAUCCCGGUGAAGAUGCCGGGUACCUGCGACAGGACGGAAAGACCCCAUGGAGCUUUACUGUAGCUUGACGUUGGGUCUUGGUACUACAUGUACAGGAUAGGUGGGAGACUAUGAAGCAUGGACGCCAGUCUGUGUGGAGUCAUCCUUGUGAUACCACCCUUGUAGUACUGGGAUCCUAACCAUAGGCCUUGAAUCAGGUCUUGGAACACCGUCAGGUGGGCAGUUUGACUGGGGCGGUCGCCUCCUAAAAAGUAACGGAGGCGCUCAAAGGUAUCCUCAGCACGGUCGGAAAUCGUGCGAAGAGUGUAAAGGUAAAAGGAAGCUUGAUUGCAAGACAUACAGGUCGAGCAAGGACGAAAGUCGGACUUAGUGAUCCGGUGGUACCGCAUGGAAGGGCCAUCGCUCAACGGAUAAAAGCUACCCUGGGGAUAACAGGCUUAUCUCCCCCAAGAGUCCACAUCGACGGGGAGGUUUGGCACCUCGAUGUCGGCUCAUCACAUCCUGGGGCUGUAGUAGGUCCCAAGGGUUGGGCUGUUCGCCCAUUAAAGUGGUACGCGAGCUGGGUUCAGAACGUCGUGAGACAGUUCGGUCCCUAUCCGUCGCAGGCGUAGGAAAUUUGAGAAGACCUGUCCUUAGUACGAGAGGACCGGGAUGGACGUACCUCUGGUGUACCAGUUGUUCUGCCAAGGGCAUGGCUGGGUAGCUAUGUACGGAAUGGAUAAGCGCUGAAAGCAUCUAAGCGCGAAGCCAACUUCAAGAUAAGAUUUCCCACCGUAAGGGUAAGACCCCAGGAAGACUACCUGGUUGAUAGGUCGAAGGUGUAAGUGCAGUAAUGUAUUUAGCUUAUCGAUACUAAUAGGUCGAGGACUUGACCU
RNAcentral lists this ribosomal RNA (1377 nucleotides) under metagenome. RNAcentral's name for it is "bacterial LSU rRNA". It matches the Rfam family "Bacterial large subunit ribosomal RNA", at positions 1531 to 2925 of the family's 2925-position model. The record is from RNAcentral.